GACGAACCACACAAACGUUAUUCGGAAUUACUGGGCUUAAAGGGUGCGUAGGCGGCGCGGAAAGUUGGGUGUGAAAUCCCUCGGCUCAACCGAGGAACUGCGCCCAAAACUACCGUGCUCGAGGGAGAUAGAGGUGAGCGGAACUUAGGGUGGAGCGGUGAAAUGCGUUGAUAUCCUAAGGAACACCCGUGGCGAAAGCGGCUCACUGGGCCUUUUCUGACGCUGAGGCACGAAAGCUAGGGUAGCGAACGGG
This 253-nucleotide ribosomal RNA is filed under the name uncultured bacterium. RNAcentral's name for it is "partial 16S ribosomal RNA". It matches the Rfam family "Bacterial small subunit ribosomal RNA", at positions 524 to 776 of the family's 1533-position model. The record is from RNAcentral.